AUGAAGGCCUUAGGGUCGUAAAGCUCUUUCGCCUGAGAUGAUAAUGACUGUACCUGGUAAAGAAACCCCGGCUAACUCCGUGCCAGCAGCCGCGGUAAUACGGAGGGGGUUAGCGUUGUUCGGAAUUACUGGGCGUAAAGCGCGCGUAGGCGGAUUGGAAAGUUGGGGGUGAAAUCCCAGGGCUCAACCCUGGAACUGCCUUCAAAACUACUAGUCUUGAGUUCGAGAGAGGUGAGUGGAAUUCCGAGUGUAGAGGUGAAAUUCGUAGAUAUUCGGAGGAACACCAGUGGCGAAGGCGGCUCACUGGCUCGAUACUGACGCUGAGGUGCGAAAGUGUGGGGAGCAAACAGGAUUAGAUACCCUGGUAGUCCACACCGUAAACGAUGAAUGCCAGUCGUCGGGUAGCAUGCUAUUCGGUGACACACCUAACGGAUUAAGCAUUCCGCCUGGGGAGUACGGUCGCAAGAUUAAAACUCAAAG
RNAcentral lists this ribosomal RNA (480 nucleotides) under Roseovarius litoreus. RNAcentral's name for it is "bacterial SSU rRNA". It matches the Rfam family "Bacterial small subunit ribosomal RNA", at positions 408 to 906 of the family's 1533-position model. Lineage: Bacteria; Pseudomonadati; Pseudomonadota; Alphaproteobacteria; Rhodobacterales; Roseobacteraceae. The record is from RNAcentral.